AGUGAACGCUGGCGGUAGGCCUAACACAUGCAAGUCGAACGGCAGCACAGUAAGAGCUUGCUCUUACGGGUGGCGAGUGGCGGACGGGUGAGGAAUACAUCGGAAUCUACUUUUUCGUGGGGGAUAACGUAGGGAAACUUACGCUAAUACCGCAUACGACCUACGGGUGAAAGCAGGGGAUCUUCGGACCUUGCGCGAUUGAAUGAGCCGAUGUCGGAUUAGCUAGUUGGCGGGGUAAAGGCCCACCAAGGCGACGAUCCGUAGCUGGUCUGAGAGGAUGAUCAGCCACAAUGGGACUGAGACACGGUCCAGACUCCUACGGGAGGCAGCAGUGGGGAAUAUUGGACAAUGGGCGCAAGCCUGAUCCAGCCAUACCGCGUGGGUGAAGAAGGCCUUCGGGUUGUAAAGCCCUUUUGUUGGGAAAGAAAAGCAGCAGGUUAAUACCCCGCUGUUCUGACGGUACCCAAAGAAUAAGCACCGGCUAACUUCGUG
RNAcentral lists this ribosomal RNA (492 nucleotides) under uncultured bacterium. Its description in RNAcentral is "partial 16S ribosomal RNA". It matches the Rfam family "Bacterial small subunit ribosomal RNA", at positions 29 to 507 of the family's 1533-position model. The record is from RNAcentral.